RNAcentral lists this long non-coding RNA (251 nucleotides) under Trifolium pratense (red clover). RNAcentral's name for it is "long non-coding RNA (TPRA_LNC006681)". The record is from RNAcentral. Lineage: Eukaryota; Viridiplantae; Streptophyta; Magnoliopsida; Fabales; Fabaceae.
AGAAAUUGUGUGCAAAACAAAUAAGAAUUUAUUGAUGGAUUAAAAUAAGUGUAUAAUAGGGAAGAUAAAGUGCAGAAAUACACUUUGUUAAUUUGUUGUUACUAUUCUAAAAAGACACUUAAAAAAGAACGGAUGGAGUAAUAUUUUUCCUCCUUACUAAGUCCAACGUCAAUCACCACUGGACCGACUAACGAUCGGUAGAUACAUCAAUUUUACACAUCGGGAGAUACAUCACAUGUCAACUUGCCAAA